AUUGAACGCUGGCGGCAGGCCUAACACAUGCAAGUCGAACGGUAACAGGAAGACGCUUGCUUCUUUGCUGACGAGUGGCGGACGGGUGAGUAAUGUCUGGGAAACUGCCUGAUGGAGGGGGAUAACUACUGGAAACGGUAGCUAAUACCGCAUAACGUCGCAAGACCAAAAAGGGGGACCUUCGGGCCUCUUGCCAUCGGAUGUGCCCAGAUGGGAUUAGCUAGUAGGUGGGGUAACGGCUCACCUAGGCGACGAUCCCUAGCUGGUCUGAGAGGAUGACCAGCCACACUGGAACUGAGACACGGUCCAGACUCCUAAGGGAGGCAGCAGUGGGGAAUAUUGCACAAUGGGCGCAAGCCUGAUGCAGCCAUGCCGCGUGUAUGAAGAAGGCCUUCGGGUUGUAAAGUACUUUCAGCGGGGAGGAAGGGAGUAAAGUUAAUACCUUGGCUCAUUGACGUUACCCGCAGAAGAAGCACCGGCUAACUCCGUG
This 490-nucleotide ribosomal RNA is filed under the name uncultured bacterium. RNAcentral describes it as "partial 16S ribosomal RNA". It matches the Rfam family "Bacterial small subunit ribosomal RNA", at positions 30 to 507 of the family's 1533-position model. The record is from RNAcentral.